RNAcentral lists this ribosomal RNA (447 nucleotides) under uncultured bacterium. RNAcentral describes it as "bacterial SSU rRNA". It matches the Rfam family "Bacterial small subunit ribosomal RNA", at positions 355 to 825 of the family's 1533-position model. The record is from RNAcentral.
UCGGGAAUUUUGGGCAAUGGGCGAAAGCCUGACCCAGCAACGCCGCGUGAAGGAUGAAGUAUUUCGGUAUGUAAACUUCGUAAGAAUAGGAAGAAUAAAUGACGGUACUAUUUGUAAGGUCCGGCUAACUACGUGCCAGCAGCCGCGGUAAUACGUAGGGACCAAGCGUUGUUCGGAUUUACUGGGCGUAAAGGGCGCGUAGGCGGCGUGGUAAGUCAUCUGUGAAAUCUCCGAGCUUAACUCGGAACGGUCAGAUGAUACUGCUGUGCUAGAGUACAGAAAGGGCAAUCGGAAUUCUUGGUGUAGCGGUGAAAUGCGUAGAUAUCAAGAGGAACACCUGAGGCGAAGGCGGGUUGCUAGGCUGAUACUGACGCUGAGGCGCGAAAGCUAGGGUAGCAAACGGGAUUAGAUACCCUUGUAGUCCCUGAGCGGGCUGGCAAGGCGCAU